Molecule: ribosomal RNA, 333 nt
Filed under: uncultured bacterium
Lineage: Bacteria
Description: bacterial SSU rRNA
Rfam family: Bacterial small subunit ribosomal RNA (bases 1-274)
Source: RNAcentral
UAUUUAGGUGGCACUAUAGAAUACUCAAGCUAUGCAUCCAACGCGUUGGGAGCUCUCCCAUAUGGUCGACCUGCAGGCGGCCGCACUAGUGAUUCCUACGGGAGGCAGCAGUGGGGAAUCUUGCGCAAUGGGCGAAAGCCUGACGCAGCCAUGCCGCGUGAAUGAUGAAGGUCUUAGGAUUGUAAAAUUCUUUCACCGGGGACGAUAAUGACGGUACCCGGAGAAGAAGCCCCGGCUAACUUCGUGCCAGCAGCCGCGGUAAUAAUCCCGCGGCCAUGGCGGCCGGGAGCAUGCGACGUCGGGCCCAAUUCGCCCUAUAGUGGGUCGUAUUAA